Molecule: ribosomal RNA, 67 nt
Filed under: Chryseobacterium rhizoplanae
Lineage: Bacteria; Pseudomonadati; Bacteroidota; Flavobacteriia; Flavobacteriales; Weeksellaceae
Source: RNAcentral
AACACAGAAGUUAAGCCCACCAGCGCCGAUGGUACUGCGAAAGCGGGAGAGUAGGCCGCCGCCAGUU